Molecule: ribosomal RNA, 301 nt
Filed under: uncultured bacterium
Lineage: Bacteria
Description: partial 16S ribosomal RNA
Rfam family: Bacterial small subunit ribosomal RNA
Source: RNAcentral
CAGCAGCCGCGGUAAUACGGAAGGUCCAGGCGUUAUCCGGAUUUAUUGGGUUUAAAGGGAGCGUAGGCCGGAGAUUAAGUGUGUUGUGAAAUGUAGACGCUCAACGUCUGACUUGCAGCGCAUACUGGUUUCCUUGAGUACGCACAACGUUGGCGGAAUUCGUCGUGUAGCGGUGAAAUGCUUAGAUAUGACGAAGAACUCCGAUUGCGAAGGCAGCUGACGGGAGCGCAACUGACGCUUAAGCUCGAAGGUGCGGGUAUCAAACAGGAUUAGAUACCCCCGUAGUCCCUGUCUCUUAUAA